CCUAAAGCGUCCGUAGCCUGUUUUGUCAGUUUUCGGUUAAAUCCAUACGCUUAACGUAUGGGCUGCCGGAAAUACUGCAAAACUAGGGAGUGGGAGAGGUAGACGGUACUCGGGAGGAAGGGGUAAAAUCCUUUGAUCUCUCGAUGACCACCUGUGGCGAAGGCGGUCUACCAGAACACGUCCGACGGUGAGGGAUGAAAGCUGGGGGAGCAAACCGGAUUAGAUACCCGGGUAGUCCCAGCUGUAAACUAUGCAAACUCAGUGAUGCAUUGGCUUGAUGCCAAUGCAGUGUUGCAGGGAAGCCGUUAAGUUUGCCGCCUGGGAAGUACGUACGCAAGUAUGAAACUUAAAGGAAUUGGCGGGGGAGCACCACAAGGGGUGAAGCCUGCGGUUCAAUUGGAGUCAACGCCAGAAAUCUUACCCGGAGAGACAGCAGAAUGAAGGUCAAGCUGAAGACUUUACCAGACAAGCUGAGAGGUGGUGCAUGGCCGUCGCCAGCUCGUGCCGUGAGAUGUCCUGUUAAGUCAGGUAACGAGCGAGAUCCUUGCCUCUAGUUGCCACCAUUACUCUCAGGAGUAGUGGGGCGAAUUAGCGGGACCGCCGUAGUUAAUACGGAGGAAGGAAGGGGCCACGGCAGGUCAGUAUGCCCCGAA
This 653-nucleotide ribosomal RNA is filed under the name uncultured archaeon. RNAcentral describes it as "bacterial SSU rRNA". It matches the Rfam family "Archaeal small subunit ribosomal RNA", at positions 509 to 1160 of the family's 1478-position model. The record is from RNAcentral.